Molecule: unclassified non-coding RNA, 177 nt
Filed under: uncultured fungus
Lineage: Eukaryota; Fungi
Description: sequence contains ITS1, 5.8S rRNA gene
Source: RNAcentral
AAAAAACGUUCCGUCUGGUGAAGAUGAACUCAAAAGCUCGCCUGCGAGGGUGCGGAUUAAUUUUUCUGCGUUAACAUACCGAGUCCUCCGGACUCAGCCCGCCGCUAAAUAUACUUCAAACUUUUAUCGUCUGAAUCUUUUUGUUGUUCUUUUUGAACUCCAAUACGAAUUAUUAAA